AUGGGCGGCGAGAUGCCCGGCACCGACGACGAGGGCCACUCCGCCCCCGCCCCCGCCUCCGCCUCCGGAUUCCCGCCGUCGGCACCGCCGUAUUAUCAACAGCAGCAGCAGCAGUACGGCACCUUCGGGGCCCCGUCCGCUUCCGGCGAGUUCCCGCAGCCGGCGGUCGGGUUCCCCCAGCCCGCUCCGCCGCCUGGGUUCCGGAACUAUCCGCCGCCGCCGCCGCCGUCCUACGCGGUCUACCCUCCUCUGCAGGCUUAUUCGGCCGCCGCGCCCUACUACGCCCAGGGCUACCAGGCCGUGCAAGGUUAUAUACCUGUUGUUGAAGGAAGACCUGUGAGGAUGCGACGCCUUCCAUGCUGUGGCCUUGGCAUGGGUUGGUUUCUGUUCAUUAUUGGCUUCUUCUUUGCUGCCAUUCCGUGGUAUGUUGGAGCUUUUGUUCUGAUCUGCGUCCGAGUACACGACUACAGGGAGAAACCAGGAUAUGUUGCUUGUACUAUUGCUGCUUCACUUGCUGCAAUUGCCAUGUUGCUUGGUGCCACAAAAGGAGCGGAGGUGUGGUGA
This 564-nucleotide ribosomal RNA is filed under the name Triticum aestivum (bread wheat). RNAcentral's name for it is "partial small subunit ribosomal RNA". The record is from RNAcentral. Lineage: Eukaryota; Viridiplantae; Streptophyta; Magnoliopsida; Poales; Poaceae.